RNAcentral lists this ribosomal RNA (175 nucleotides) under uncultured bacterium. Its description in RNAcentral is "partial 16S ribosomal RNA". It matches the Rfam family "Bacterial small subunit ribosomal RNA", at positions 1326 to 1500 of the family's 1533-position model. The record is from RNAcentral.
UCGGAAUUGCUAGUAAUCGUAGGUCAGCAUACUACGGUGAAUACGUUCCCGGGCCUUGUACACACCGCCCGUCAAACCAUGAGAGUUGGCAACACCCGAAGUCGGUAGUCUAACCGCAAGGAGGACGCCGCCGAAGGUGGGGUUGAUGAUUAGGGUUAAGUCGUAACAAGGUACC